ACUAGUUCUCCCUGACCCUUUAAGGGUCCUGAAGGAACGUUGAAGACGACGACGUUGAUAGGCCGGGUGUGUAAGCGCAGCGAUGCGUUGAGCUAACCGGUACUAAUGAACCGUGAGGCUUAACCUUAC
This 129-nucleotide ribosomal RNA is filed under the name Escherichia coli O157:H- str. H 2687. RNAcentral describes it as "partial 23S ribosomal RNA". It matches the Rfam family "Bacterial large subunit ribosomal RNA", at positions 2804 to 2925 of the family's 2925-position model. The record is from RNAcentral. Lineage: Bacteria; Pseudomonadati; Pseudomonadota; Gammaproteobacteria; Enterobacterales; Enterobacteriaceae.